GACGAACGCUGGCGGCAUGCCUAAUACAUGCAAGUCGAGCGAACAGAUGAAGUGCUUGCACUUCUGACGUUAGCGGCGAACGGGUGAGUAACACGUAAGGAAUCUACCUAUAAGCGGGGGAUAACAUUCGGAAACGGGUGCUAAUACCGCAUAAUAUCUUCUUCCGCAUGGAAGAAGAUUGAAAGAUAGCUCUGCUGUCACUUAUAGAUGACCUUGCGGUGCAUUAGUUAGUUGGUGGGGUAAUGGCCUACCAAGACGAUGAUGCAUAGCCGACCUGAGCGGGUGAUCGGCCACAUUGGGACUGAGGCACGGCCCAAACUCCUACGGGAGGCAGCAGUAGGGAAUCUUCCGCAAUGGGCGAAAGCCUGACGGAGCAAUGCCGCGUGAGUGAAGAAGGCCUUCGGGUCGUAAAACUCUGUUAUAAGAGAAGAACAAAUUGUAGAGUAACUGCUACAGUCUUGACGGUAUCUUAUCAGAAAGCCACGGCUAACUACGUGCCAGCCGCCGCCGUAA
RNAcentral lists this ribosomal RNA (513 nucleotides) under uncultured bacterium. Its description in RNAcentral is "partial 16S ribosomal RNA". It matches the Rfam family "Bacterial small subunit ribosomal RNA", at positions 28 to 523 of the family's 1533-position model. The record is from RNAcentral.